AUGAACGCUGGCGGCGUGCCUAAUACAUGCAAGUCGAACGAACAGACGAGGAGCUUGCUCCUCUGACGUUAGCGGCGGACGGGUGAGUAACACGUGGAUAACCUACCUAUAAGACUGGGAUAACUUCGGGAAACCGGAGCUAAUACCGGAUAAUAUAUUGAACCGCAUGGUUCAAUAGUGAAAGACGGUUUUGCUGUCACUUAUAGAUGGAUCCGCGCCGCAUUAGCUAGUUGGUAAGGUAACGGCUUACCAAGGCAACGAUGCGUAGCCGACCUGAGAGGGUGAUCGGCCACACUGGAACUGAGACACGGUCCAGACUCCUACGGGAGGCAGCAGUAGGGAAUCUUCCGCAAUGGGCGAAAGCCUGACGGAGCAACGCCGCGUGAGUGAUGAAGGUCUUCGGAUCGUAAAACUCUGUUAUUAGGGAAGAACAAAUGUGUAAGUAACUAUGCACGUCUUGACGGUACCUAAUCAGAAAGCCACGGCUAACUACGUG
This 496-nucleotide ribosomal RNA is filed under the name uncultured bacterium. RNAcentral describes it as "partial 16S ribosomal RNA". It matches the Rfam family "Bacterial small subunit ribosomal RNA", at positions 29 to 507 of the family's 1533-position model. The record is from RNAcentral.